AUAUCAAUAAGCGGAGGAAAAGAAACCAACAGGGAUUGCCCCAGUAACGGCGAGUGAAGCGGCAACAGCUCAAAUUUGAAAUCUGGCCCCCCGGCCCGAGUUGUAAUUUGUAGAGGAUGCUUUUGGUGCGGCGCCUUCCGAGUUCCCUGGAACGGGACGCCAUAGAGGGUGAGAGCCCCGUCUGGUUGGCCGCCAAGCCUCUGUAAAGCUCCUUCGACGAGUCGAGUAGUUUGGGAAUGCUGCUCUAAAUGGGAGGUAUAUGUCUUCUAAAGCUAAAUACCGGCCAGAGACCGAUAGCGCACAAGUAGAGUGAUCGAAAGAUGAAAAGCACUUUGAAAAGAGAGUUAAAUAGCACGUGAAAUUGUUGAAAGGGAAGCGCUUGUGACCAGACUUGGGCUUGGUUAAUCAUCCAGCGUUCUCGCUGGUGCACUUGGCCGGCCCAGGCCAGCAUCAGUUCGGCUUGGGGGAUAAAGGCGUCGGGAACGUGGCUCCCCCGGGAGUGUUAUAGCCCUUCGCGCAAUGCCCUGAGCCGGACUGAGGUUCGCGCAUCUGCAUGGAUGCUGGCGUAAUGGUCAUCAGCGACCCGUC
RNAcentral lists this ribosomal RNA (588 nucleotides) under Nalanthamala vermoesenii. Its description in RNAcentral is "partial large subunit ribosomal RNA". It matches the Rfam family "Eukaryotic large subunit ribosomal RNA", at positions 40 to 653 of the family's 3401-position model. The record is from RNAcentral. Lineage: Eukaryota; Fungi; Ascomycota; Sordariomycetes; Hypocreales; Nectriaceae.